RNAcentral lists this ribosomal RNA (460 nucleotides) under uncultured bacterium. RNAcentral's name for it is "partial 16S ribosomal RNA". It matches the Rfam family "Bacterial small subunit ribosomal RNA", at positions 338 to 795 of the family's 1533-position model. The record is from RNAcentral.
CCUACGGGGUGCUGCAGUGAGGAAUAUUGGUCAAUGGACGAGAGUCUGAACCAGCCAAGUAGCGUGAAGGAUGACUGCCCUAUGGGUUGUAAACUUCUUUUAUAUGGGAAUAAAAUGUUCCACGUGUGGGAUUUUGUAUGUACCAUAUGAAUAAGGAUCGGCUAACUCCGUGCCAGCAGCCGCGGUAAUACGGAGGAUCCGAGCGUUAUCCGGAUUUAUUGGGUUUAAAGGGAGCGUAGGUGGAUUGUUAAGUCAGUUGUGAAAGUUUGCGGCUCAACCGUAAAAUUGCAGUUGAAACUGGCAGUCUUGAGUACAGUAGAGGUGGGCGGAAGUCGUGGUGUAGCGGUGAAAUGCUUAGAUAUCACGAAGAACUCCGAUUGCGAAGGCAGUUCACUGGACUGCAACUGACACUGAGGCUCGAAAGUGUGGGUAUCAAACAGGAUUAGAUACCCCUGUAGUC